UACGUAGGUGGCAAGCGUUGUCCGGAUUUACUGGGCGUAAAGGGCGUGCAGGCGGUCUGUUAAGUCUAGGGUGAAAGCUCCCGGCUCAACUGGGAGAGGUCCUUGGAUACUGGCGGACUUGAGGGAGGCAGAGGAGAAUAGAAUUCCCGGUGUAGUGGUGAUAUGCGUAGAUAUCGGGAGGAAUACCAGUGGCGAAGGCGGUUCUCUGGGCCUUACCUGACGCUCAGGUGCGAAAGCUAGGGGAGCGAACAGG
Molecule: ribosomal RNA, 253 nt
Filed under: uncultured bacterium
Lineage: Bacteria
Description: partial 16S ribosomal RNA
Rfam family: Bacterial small subunit ribosomal RNA
Source: RNAcentral